Molecule: long non-coding RNA, 395 nt
Filed under: Musa acuminata (dwarf banana)
Lineage: Eukaryota; Viridiplantae; Streptophyta; Magnoliopsida; Zingiberales; Musaceae
Description: long non-coding RNA (MACU_LNC005178)
Source: RNAcentral
GGGUGACCGCGCAGGUGUGGUCCCGGGAUGGCGUAGAGCCGAGGGCCGAGGAGCACAACGCAGGCGGGGUGACCGCGCAGGUGUGGUCUCGGGAUGGCGUAGAGCUGAGGGCCGAGGAGCACAACACAGGCGGGGUGACCGCGCAGGUGUGUCUCGGGUGGCGUGAAGCCAAGGGCCAAGGAGCACAACGCAGGCGGGGUGAACGCGCAGGUGUGGUCUCGGGAUGGCGUAGAGCCGAGGGCCGAGGAGCACAACGCAGGCGGGGUGACCGCGCAAGUGUGUCUCGGGUGGCGUGAAGCCAAGGGCCGAGGAGCACAACGCAGGCGGGGUGACCGCGCAGGUGUGGUCUCGAGAUGGCGUAGAGCCGAGGGUCGAGGAGCACAACGCAGGCGGGG